Molecule: long non-coding RNA, 985 nt
Filed under: Equus asinus (donkey)
Lineage: Eukaryota; Metazoa; Chordata; Mammalia; Perissodactyla; Equidae
Description: lncRNA (ENSEASG00005026297.1)
Source: RNAcentral
AGGCCUUUGAGAGUUCACUUGCCCAGAUCAGAAGCUUAACUGUGACCCUGGAUUCUCCUUUCUCUCUUACCAUCCAGUCGUCACCAGUCCACUUCCUGAGGAACCAAACCUGGGACAAUCCUCUCAACAGCCUUAUGGAUCAACCCUGAGCUAACAUCUGCUGCUAAUCCUCCUCUUUUUGCUGAGGAAGACUGGCCCUGAGCUAACAUCCGUGCCCAUCUUCCUCUACUUUAUACGUGGGACGCCUACCACAGCAUGGCUUGCCAAGCAGUACCAUGUCCACACCCAGGAUCUGAACCGGCAAACCGUGGGCUGCUGAAGUGGAACAUGCACACCUAACUGCUGCGCCACCGGGCCGGCCCCUAAAAUAUGUGGCCUCCUUGGUGCUGAAUGAAGCUUUGCUUAAUGUGGCUGCCUGUGGAAUUAUAUUUGGAGGGAUUGCUAUUAAUGGAAACCAGUGAAGGAGCAGUCACUCGUUCCUCACAAGCACAGAGGUCUUUUGUGAUGGAGAUGACAGCUUUCCUCAUUUCAUACACGGUCCCUCGUGAACCUGAAGAGGGAAGGAUGCAUGCGUGUUUGAACAAGACUUCAAAGGAAGCCUGGGACCCGGCCUCCAUUCCAGAGUUGCUGUCAGGUCAGCCCCUGGAGCCACCCACAGUUCUCAUUCCUGUCUCACGUCCUUCAAGGACUUCCUGCUACUCUUGGGAAGAGCCAAAUUUCUUCACCGAGCCCACCAAGCCCAUGGCAGUGUCACCCCAGCUAACCUUGCCUGCUUAUCUCCCAUCCACCCUGCCCUGCAGUCCCACUGCAGAGUCUCACCUUCCCCAAAAUAUCCUACGCGGGUGCCUCCCUGUCAGAAAUGCCAUUCUCCCUUUUGUUGUCUGGAUCCUCUCCAUCUCAUCCUUCAAGACCCUGGCAGAAGUCUUCUUAGGGAGUCCUCCCCAUCUGUCCCAGGUAGAGGGAAUCAUCCCCACCUCUUUGCUCC